AGGCGCGUCACUCACACCGUAUCUUAACACCGCUGAAAAGUCAAAUCUCCUACACACAAAAGUAAACACCUCCCACUUUCAAUUUUUCCAUUUUCAGAUCCCGAACCAUGGCGGGUCAAAGAAACGACUACGGCAAACGAUCAAAUUCCCAAUCAGACUACGGCGGAGGUAAACGCCGUAGUAACCCUCCCGACGGAGAAGAAACCGACCACCACCAUCAGCCGCCACAUGCAAUCACCAACGAAGACACAGUCUACCGCUACUUGUGUCCGUUAAAAAAGAUCGGCAGCAUAAUUGGCCGAGGCGGGGAGAUAGCCAAGCAGUUAAGGUCGGAAUCGAAAUCGAACAUGCGAAUAAGCGAAGCUAUGGCGGGGUUCGAUGAGCGCAUUGUGACUGUUUAUAGUAGCAGUGAAGAGAGUAAUUUAUUUGGUGAUAGUGGUGAGUUUGUUUGUCCGGCUCAGGACGCGCUUUUUAUGGUGCAUGAUAGGAUUGUUGCGGAGGAUCUGAAUGCAAAGAAUGAUAAGAAUGAUGAGGAUGAUUUUGAUGAUAAUGAUGAGGCGGCGGCGGCGGCACGAGAGGAGGAUGACGGUGGCAAAGAGGGGCAGGUUGUGGUUACGGUGAAGAUGUUGGUACCCGCUGAUCAGAUAGGGUGUAUUAUUGGGAAAGGUGGACAGGUUAUUCAGAAUAUCAGGAGUGAGACUGGUGCUCAGAUUCGUGUAUUGAAAGAUGAACACUUGCCUCCGUUGGCUUUGCCUACUGAUGAGCUUCUUUUGAUUAUUGGAGAACCUGCUGUUGUGAGAAAGGCACUGUAUCAAGUGGCAACUCGCCUUCAUGAGAACCCAUCACGGUCCCAGCAUUUGCUUUUGUCUUCUUCAGCCAACAUGUAUCAAAGUAGCGGUGGCAUGUUUGUGGCUCCAAAUGCUGGAGGUGCUUCUCUAAUGGGUGUUUAUGGAAAUUACAAAGGUAACUGGUCUUCAUCUUACUACUCUGAUCAGAGAGAUGAAGGUUCUUCUAUGGAGUUUUCUCUUCGUUUGGUAUGUCCUAUUGGAAAUAUUGGAAGUGUGAUUGGAAAAGGUGGUAGCAUCAUCAAACAAAUUCGCCAGGAAUCCAGGGCUUCCAUUAAAGUUGAUAGCUCAGCUGCUGAAGGAGAUGAUUGCAUCAUAUUUAUAUCAGCAAAGGAGCAUCUUGAAGAUCAAUCUGCAACAAUGAUGGCAGCUAUGCGCUUGCAACCACGGUGCAGUGAAAAAUCUGAAAGGGAUUCAGGUGAUUCUGUCAUUACCACACGUCUACUCGUGGCAAGAUCACAGAUUGGAUGUCUUAUGGGAAAAGGAGGGUCUAUAAUUUCUGAGAUGAGGAAUGUGACAAGGGCAAGCAUCCGGAUUCUAUCAGAGGAUAAUCUUCCUAAAGUAGCUUCUGAGGAUGAUGAAAUGGUUCAGAUUACUGGCAGCCAUGAUGUUGCUAGCAAUGCCCUCCUGCAUGUUAUUUUGAGGUUGAAGGCUAAUUUAUUUGGAAGGGAUGGAGCAUUAACUCCAUUUACACCGACUCUUCCAUAUAUACCUGUCUCAAUGGACAUGUUGGAUAGUCCAAAAUAUGGGAACCGGGACAGUCAAUCACGCGGACGUGGAUACUCUUCUGCUGGUGGUUACAGUUCCCGUGAUAUGCCUCCUAGUGACAACCAUGGAAAUAAUGCUAGGUCACUGAGUGGUGGUGAAAGUGGAUAUGGAGCAUACAGUAGCUUCUCUUCUGGUCGUUCUAGUGGUUCAGGUGUCUUUACCAGGUUAUCUGGUCAGACUUCAGCCCAAAGAAAACAUCAUGGAUAUUAGUCCCAUAUACUACAGACCCAACAGUUUGAUUUCUUCAUGGAUAUCAAUUCUCUGAUGCUGCAAAUUUGAGAUAUCUCUGAUACUGUAAAUUGCUUUAACGGGAUGUAUCUUGGUCAUGGCAUGUAUUCAGGUUUGGGAUAAUGGUUUGGGAUUAUAGUGGGGUCUAUAGAUUGCCUGGGAGGUAGUUUGUGCAUAAGUUUCUCUUUGACUUGAUUCACAGAUUGUCAGCUGGGUGAAGAUUAGAUCAGCUCAAACCUCUAAGGGUUUGAUGAGUUAUGGACAUUGGGAGGUAAUCAUUACUAACAUUUAUGAUUUUUGAGUCACAUGUUCCCAUAUGUAACCUAGUGACGUACAAUUUUGAAGUGGAAAUACCGAAAAAGUUUCUGGUUUUGCUUCCGGCCCCGAGACUUGUACGGCUUGGGGUCCAGACCUAUGGAACCUUUGUUAGGUGAUCAUCUAGAUUGACAGGAAGGGGAUGAAAAGGACCCAUGGAACAGAUUGAUAAUUGCUCCUCUACAUGAUCUUCAGUGCAUGAUUAUGUUCAAGUGCUUCUUACCUCGAAUGGAGAUGAAAGUGGAAGUCCUCAUUUUUGUGUAUAUACUACGCUAGCCAGUUGUGUAAGAUUUAUGUUUCCACCCGCCAGUUAACAAAGUGGUUAGGCCAUGGCUGAUGAUUUCUGUUGCAGGCCGAAUUAAUCUGAAGGAUUUUGAUUAUUGGGGUUUCGUCGUUGACCAUAUUAAAGGAUAAACUUUAGAACAUGUUGCGAUGAAGCAAAAGUAAAUGCCAUGUUACAGUUACCAAAGUAGAAAUGAAACAAAUGAACUAAUUUAGGACCUUUGUUCUAAGAGAACUUGGAAGCGUUUAGUACUUAUUAUAAUGAGCAUCUCCUGAAUCAUCGUCCAGUAAUCUCAUGUUUCAGAACACAAUCUUAGUUGGCAACACCAACAGCUCAAUCGACUGAAUCCUCAGGUUGUUGUUUAGACUGCGUACUUGCAGCUUCCAGUGUCUUGUUGUUAUCAUCAUCAUCAGAGGUAUGAUUAUUGCCGCUAUCAACUGCUAAUAAAAAUGAAGGCAACAGAUAAGAUGGAUAAAUUGUGCUGUUCGGAGAUUUUCCAAGCAAACUGCAAGUGUAACAUACCAUCAUCAGCAUGAACAUAAGCCAAGCGCCUUGAACGCAUUUGGUGAUGUGGGGUUGGCUGCAAUACAAGAAAAACACUCUGUUACACCAUAUUGGCUAAUUAUGCAUCAUGUCAUCAACAUAAUUUAUCUGUUUCUAUGUUUUAGUCUUUCGUUUUCAUUUCUAGAAACGCCGAAACGCUAUUUAUAAUCUUCUUACAUAAAAAUAUUGUUCUGCCA
This is an RNA transcript of Mercurialis annua (annual mercury), 3179 nucleotides long. It is a transcript of the gene named KH domain-containing protein At4g18375, with no coding region annotated. The record is from RefSeq and is a predicted model, not a curated record. NCBI's taxonomy places the organism in Eukaryota, Viridiplantae, Streptophyta, Magnoliopsida, Malpighiales, Euphorbiaceae. The transcript is spliced from 9 exons.